This 449-nucleotide ribosomal RNA is filed under the name uncultured bacterium. Its description in RNAcentral is "partial 16S ribosomal RNA". It matches the Rfam family "Bacterial small subunit ribosomal RNA", at positions 29 to 523 of the family's 1533-position model. The record is from RNAcentral.
AACGAACGCUGGCGGCAUGCCUAACACAUGCAAGUCGAACGAGAUCUUCGGGUCUAGUGGCGCACGGGUGCGUAACGCGUGGGAACCUGCCCUUUGGUUCGGAAUAACAGUUGGAAACGACUGCUAAUACCGGAUGAUGACGAAAGUCCAAAGAUUUAUCGCCAGAGGAUGAGCCCGCGUAGGAUUAGCUAGUUGGUGUGGUAAAGGCGCACCAAGGCGACGAUCCUUAGCUGGUCUGAGAGGAUGAUCAGCCACACUGGGACUGAGACACGGCCCAGACUCCUACGGGAGGCAGCAGUGGGGAAUAUUGGACAAUGGGCGAAAGCCUGAUCCAGCAAUGCCGCGUGAGUGAUGAAGGCCUUAGGGUUGUAAAGCUCUUUUAUCCGGGAUGAUAAUGACAGUACCGGGAGAAUAAGCUCCGGCUAACUCCGUGCCAGCAGCCGCCGUAA